Molecule: ribosomal RNA, 433 nt
Filed under: uncultured bacterium
Lineage: Bacteria
Description: partial 16S ribosomal RNA
Rfam family: Bacterial small subunit ribosomal RNA
Source: RNAcentral
AGCGAACGCUGGCGGCAGGCCUAACACAUGCAAGUCGAACGAACUCUUCGGAGUUAGUGGCGGACGGGUGAGUAACACGUGGGACCGUGCCUUUUGGUUCGGAAUAACUCAGGGAAACUUGUGCUAAUACCGAAUGUGCCCUUCGGGGGAAAGAUUUAUCGCCAUUAGAGCGGCCCGCGUCUGAUUAGCUAGUUGGUGAGGUAACGGCUCACCAAGGCGACGAUCAGUAGCUGGUCUGAGAGGAUGACCAGCCACACUGGGACUGAGACACGGCCCAGACUCCUACGGGAGGCAGCAGUGGGGAAUCUUGCGCAAUGGGCGAAAGCCUGACGCAGCCAUGCCGCGUGAAUGAUGAAGGUCUUAGGAUUGUAAAAUUCUUUCACCGGGGACGAUAAUGACGGUACCCGGAGAAGAAGCCCCGGCUAACUUCGUG